GCGCCUGUAGCUCAGCUGGAUAGAGCAGCGGACUUCUAAUCCGCAGGCCCGGGGUUCGAAUCCCUGCAGGCGCGCCA
Molecule: transfer RNA, 77 nt
Filed under: Pseudomonadota bacterium
Lineage: Bacteria; Pseudomonadati; Pseudomonadota
Also listed under: 2 other names
Description: tRNA-Arg
Rfam family: tRNA
About the family: Transfer RNA (tRNA) molecules are approximately 80 nucleotides in length.
Source: RNAcentral